RNA transcript from Carya illinoinensis, 3031 nucleotides. It is a transcript of the gene named protein P21-like, with no coding region annotated. The transcript has 4 exons. NCBI's taxonomy places the organism in Eukaryota, Viridiplantae, Streptophyta, Magnoliopsida, Fagales, Juglandaceae. The record is from RefSeq and is a predicted model, not a curated record.
AUUUCCUCGAAAGCACAGCUCAAAAUACUGAAUAUGUAUGUAAUGAUGUUACCAUCCCUCCCCAAAACGAGCAAUGAGCCCUUCCAAAAACCUUUCCAUCAAUUUCUACUACCUUUGUAUCAUCAAUCUUUGCUUUGCACUGACGCAUGCGGCUACAUUUGUCAUAACAAACAAUUGUAACUACACAGUUUGGGCUGCGGCUGUGCCCGGUGGUGGCACGGAGCUCAACCCACGGGUUGGAACAUGGACACUAAAUGUCCCAUCUGGAACCAAGGGCGGUCGAAUCUGGCCACGAACUGGCUGCGUGUUCAGUGGAACUGGUCGUGUCGUAUGCCAGACCGGUGGCUGUGAAGAUGGGGACAAAGCUACUGCUACUCGAAGAAAAUUGAACCCAGCAGCAUAUUCCAUCUCCCUGGAAUCGGGUCCUCCCCAUGUUGGAAUCCUAGCGUCGACAAUGUGCAGUAAUGGUGGGCUUCUCGAAUGCAAAGGCUACGGUACACCGCCAAACACCAUUGCCGAAUACUCACUAGACCAAGUUAACAACCAAGAUUUCUUUGACAUCUCUCUUGUUGACGGGUUUAAUGUUCCUAUGGAAUUUAGACCCACUUCUAAUGGAUGCACCCGUGGGAUAAGAUGUACUGCUGAUAUCAAUGGGCAGUGCCCCAAUGAGUUGAGGGUUCCUGGUGGAUGUAACAAUCCAUGCACUGUAUUCAAGACCGAUCAAUACUGUUGCAAUUCUGGGAGCUGUGGGCCCACAAACUAUUCCAAUUUUUUCAAGGAUCGUUGCCCCAAUGCUUACAGUUACCCUAAUGACGACCAAACUAGCACAUAUACGUGCCCUGCUGGGACCAACUACAGGGUUGUGUUCUGCCCUUAAAGAACUGGCUCAGAAUUAGCACGCAGUAUGCCUAUGAAGGGAGCUUGAGGGGCACUUGGCGAGCAUGCAUUGUAGUGUGCAAACACCAAUUUCCGAAUUCAGAUGAGAUUUCCAGAAAAAGAGCACGUGAGAGACAGAGAUCCCUGGGCAAAAGUAGUUUAAACUCGAGUCCUCGUCCUUUUGGUCUGUGUCUCUGGGGGGUCAAGCCUCUUCAUUUUCCAAACAAUCCUCAUGGAACUCUCGAAGUCUUCCUUGGUUCUAAGGGACUGGAAAGCACCUAUUUUUCUUGGAAAACACAGAAGCAAAGAAAUAAUCAAUCUUACAACAGUUAUCUGACUGAAAUCUCUCUCUCUCUCUCUCCCCCCACUAGAUCUUUUAACCGGAUGAUACAGAGCAUCAAGCUCUGAUUACAAAUAUUACAAGAGAUAAAUAGCAAAAGCGUCAUGCUAGGGCUUUAAACAGUAGAUUACUACUGACUAUCCCAGACAACUAGCUGCCUUUAUCCUAAGAGUUAACCUUUCCAUGAAGAUCCUCAUCACCCUCCGAGUAAGGUUGUUGAGAACUAAUUCCUCCACAACUCGGCAAGCUCACAUGAUUUCCUGGGGCCAGGAAUGGAGAACUCCGGGACGGUUGGUGUCCUGCCAUAGACUUUUCUGGUAAAUCAAAAUGGGAUGAAAUAUCAUUUUGGAAAAAGCUGGGUAAGCCAAAAUCUGGCAAUGCCAAACUACUAUCCCUCUGUGUGUGAGAGAUGUCAAGUUCUUCGUGGAAGCUUCCUUGAACUGCCAAAUUAUCUUCCACUGGUAUUACACCUGUAAGUGUCUUGAAUGCAAAUUCUAGGCAUGGGUCUGGCCAAGAAUCACCGAAAGGAAAGGCAAGCUGUGGUUCUGGCAUUAUUUCAGUUUCAGGAAAAUGCGGUUGCUCUUUGGGAACACUUUGGACUCCAAGAGGCAGUUGCUCUUUGGGACCAACUUGAACUUCAAGCGGCUUUUCGCUCUUGUUUGAUGACACCCCAAGAAAGAUUGGGGUGUUUACAUUGUUAGAAACAUGAUGCGCAAGCUCCAUGUCUAGCCCGUCCUCAAGUUGUCGAGAUGCUCCAUCUGCCAAAACCACAGGUAAAGUAGCUUCACUUUCACUAGACUUAUUCCUUGCAUUUUGAAUAGCCUGUUCACCGAAUCGGGAGUUGGCCACCAUCUCAGGUUCAAGCCCAGCAAGCCGCUUUGAAGACCUUCGAGUCAAAUUAAGAUCUUUUUUGUUCUUGGAUUUCUUCAAGCUAUCCUGAGUUUUUCUAGUGCUGCUCUUUCUUAUGCCACCCUCAAGCGAGUUCUCUUUUUGCUGGAUAUUGGCAGCAGGAGCCAAAACAGCCCCAUAACUAGUAGUGUCCUCAAGUGGUAAUGCACCUGUAAGAGUCUUGAUAGCGAACUCUAGGCAUGGGUCUGACCAAGAAUUCCCAAAUGGACAGCAAUGCUCUUCUUCUAGUACCUCAUCAUCCAUUUUGUCAGUUUCCAGCAUCUCUAGUGGCCCUUUGGAAGCAGCUUUGUUUUGAAGAUGCUUUUUGCUUUCGUCUGAUGGCUCUCCAUGCAAUGCAUGGUUCGGGUCUGUAGAACCAUGCUGUGCAUUCAGCAUUUGUUGCCCAUUCUCAAGCUGCUGAGAUGCUCCAUCUGACAAACCACAUGAAGCCAAAACUGAAUCUUGACCUGCUCCACUUUCACUUAACCUCCUUGUUAAAACUUGAAAAGGUUGUUGACUUGAAACUGAGUUCACAACCUGCUCAGGAUCAAAACCAGCAAGUCUUUUUGAAGAACGGCAAGGCAAGUUAAAUUUUUUUUUCUUUUUGGACUUGCUUGAGGUAAUCUUAUUUUUCCUAGUGCUGCCAUUUUCCUUCACAGUCUCAAGCACAUCAUUCUCUUGCAGGAUAUCAACUGCAGGUGUUGAAACAGGCACAUUAUUAGGAGGGAGACUUUUUGGUUGACUUUUUCCCUUGGAGCUGUCAGCUUUAGGCAAUGCUGACCUUCUUGGACCACAAUUUUCCUUAGUUUCUGCAGAAUCCUUAAUGGCAUCCUUCUGGACAAUCUCAGCUGUGGGGACAAAAGCAUCUCUCUGUUCAUCAGAUGCUUUAUUUGCCCGUCCUCUCUUUGAGCUCUUGGCUUCUGCUAA